Molecule: non-coding RNA, 45 nt
Organism: Echinostoma caproni
Lineage: Eukaryota; Metazoa; Platyhelminthes; Trematoda; Plagiorchiida; Echinostomatidae
Source: Rfam
GCACUGCUGAAGAGUCCAAAACAGGACGAAACAGCUGUCUAGUGC